Molecule: ribosomal RNA, 368 nt
Filed under: Merguia oligodon
Lineage: Eukaryota; Metazoa; Arthropoda; Malacostraca; Decapoda; Hippolytidae
Description: partial 12S ribosomal RNA
Source: RNAcentral
UGGUAUUGAAAUUUCUGAAAGUAGACUCUAAGGUAUUAAACAGUUAGAGGUUCGAAACUUAAAAGAUUUGGCGGUACCUUAGCCUAGUUAGAGGAACCUGCCCCAGGAUCAAUAAUCCCUGUAAUAUCUUACUUUACUUAGUUAAUCAGCAUGUAUACCGCCAUUUUGUUAGGUGAAUUUUAUAGAAAUAUGCCAGGAUAGGAUGCGUCCUAAUAAAUUAGGCAAUGAUGCAGCCUAUGGUAAAGUGUGAGGUGGGUUACAAUGAUAUCAGUAGGAGACGGAUAAUUUACUUGAAAAAAGAUUUUUGAAGGUGGAUUCAAAUGUAAGACUUAUUUUAAUAAGUUGCUUUAAGUGCUCUUAGGUAUGUA